AGGGUCGGCGUCGCUGGUGGUUCGGCCGUCCGUCCAGGGCGGUCGUCGCAAGAGGGAACCCGGUGGGAAUCCGGGACUGCCCCGCAGCGGUGAACGGGAACGACCGCCGUCAUGAGCACUGGGUCCGCGAGGGCCUGGGAAGCGACGGUCAGUAGGAAGGCCGGUGUGAGCCGGAGGUGCCCGUGAGUCCGAAGACCUGCCACCGGUACGCGCACCGA
Molecule: non-coding RNA, 218 nt
Filed under: Allokutzneria albata
Lineage: Bacteria; Bacillati; Actinomycetota; Actinomycetes; Pseudonocardiales; Pseudonocardiaceae
Source: RNAcentral